UCUGAGUAUGUAAUCCUGGAAUUUUCACCGAAGACACAAAAUGGAAGAAAAGCAAUCCUAGACUAUUUGGGCUGGGUAGAAGAACGAUGGGGGUCGUGUUCGCCGUUGGCGCCUAUAGGCAUCGGCCGCGAAGCCUGUUGUCUCGCGGUCACAGAAACAGAACGUCGUUGUGAUGAAACAUUGAAGAAUUCGGAUAUAGGAAGCAGCAAAUAAAUAGCCCAAGUCAUGGAGUCAGAUCAUCCUGAGAAUCUUCAAAACGAUAAUGAUUCUGUCUUUGUUUGGGAUGAGAAUUCUCAGCUUUACUUCCACGCCAGUAGUGGCUUUUACCAUGACCCUAGUGCUGGCUGGUACUAUAGCAGCAAGGAUGGUCUUUAUUAUAAAUUUGAGGACGGCAAUUACGUACUUCUGAGUUCUAAUGAGGCUGAUGAUGGAGGAACAUUCCCUUCCAAUGAUGUUGCACCAAAAGACCCUACUCUACCAGAUGGUUCUUGUCAACAAAUAUAUGGUGAGAAUGGCGAGUGUUAUUCUACCUUUGCUGAAAGUAUAUCAGAAUGUCAUCAACAGAUGGGAACGGCUGAUGAAGUUUCUCAUGAUCCCAGGGAUUGCAUGAGGAGUCCAACUUCUGAGAAACCUCCUCCACCACCAUCUGAGUGGUUAGAGGACACAUUAAUUGAUCUUUACUUGUCUGGCUACAAUAACCCUGCUAUAAGUGAAGCUGAUACAGCAGUAAUGCCCUUGGAAACAGAUGAUGAAGCUAAGUUAGCAUCUGAUGGUACACACAAUAACAAUACUUAUGAAUUGGAAGAAGGUGAAUGGAUCCCAGAGGAUGAAAAUGGUAUAGCUAAUACUAUCAUAGAUGAAGAUGAAGAGAAAUGGCGUGCUCAGUACGGUCAAGUCAUUGAUUCAGGAAAAGAGGUGGUUUCAGAGUUUCCAGCUGUGGACGUGUGGGAAUGGGAAAUGGUUCGAGGAUCCCGAAAAGAUGGAAAAGAUGAGGUGGCAAGGUUGGUUGGAAGAUUAGUAAAACGGUCCAUUAAGCUUCACCCUUCUAUGCCUUCAGGUGGUGGAAAAUUAAGAUCUGCUCCUAUAUGUGAAGCUCAUCUCGAUCUGGUACGAGUCAAAACAGGACAAGUAUACAAACUGCGAAAUCCUAAUGCAAGUUAUUUAGCUUCACUAUCAACAUAUGAUUCUGCCAAUCCUACAAAAGAAUGGGGAUUCCCUCCAUUAUCAUCUGAUUGGAAAAUCACCCAUAUAUCUAAAUCCAGUGAAAGUUCUGCAUCAGUUUCUGGUGGAGUAUGCAAUGAAAAAGGUCUGCCUGUGUUGCCGAAUCAGUUAGCUGCAUCUAAGCAAAGAAGCUGUCAGUACAGAGAUAGAGCUGCUGAAAGAAGAAUGUUGCAUGGUGUAUUUAGUGUGGGUCCAGGACAGAAGAAUCCAGUUGACAGUGACAAUGAUACCCCAUCAUCACCCGUUGGUAAUUGUCCACAAGAAGCUGCAGCUGAGGCUCUGGAGAUAUCAUUUGGGUCCGGUAGUUAUGCUAGAAAAAUUUUGAAAAGCAUGGGUUGGAAGGAGGGAGAAAGGCUUGGCAGCUCCACAAAAGGCUUGUUGGAACCUAUUCAACCUGUUGGAAACAUUGGCAAUGCAGGUUUGGGGUGGUCUCACCGUGGGAAAAAACGCUAGCCAUACUGUACUAUUAUUAACUGUUUGUGUUUGGUAUUGCUGCCGUUCAAACUUCGGUACUCGGAUAGUUUUCUUAUAAUGACAUGGGAAUCUGUUAGAGCAAUAUCUGAUGCACGAAGGCUAGAUGGAUAUGGUUGGCAGGAAGAAGAGUGUGCAGAAGUGAAAUAAGAAAGGAAUGGCACCAUCUAUACAUCCUAUUACGGGGUUCUAACAUGCACGUCUUCGACAUCGUGAAUUUCUUGGUCAAGACCAAAAUCCGUAUCAAGCUGAGGCGGGCUUCAUUCAAAAUGAUCAAUAUUCUCAUCAGAAAUAUGGAAAUCAGAAUAGAGUAAUUCUGGGUCAGAAUGAGCAUUGGGUAUUCUCUUGGUCCACGGCUAGUUUUACAUGUGUCCUGGGCAAGUAAUUCAGCAGCGGGACAUUGAUCAGGUGUCGAGAGGAAAAGGUCAGAGAAAUUGGCUGGGGGGAAAAUAUUUGAUGGUUUAUUUGGAUUAGUACCCGUUCUCUCAGAAAAUAAGAUCCUAUGAAGUAAAGCUCCUGAUUUGAGAAGGAAAAAAAAAUAGAGGAGAAAUAAAGCUUAGAGGGAUGGGGAUUAGCUUUUCGCAUCUCUGGUCAUGCUGCGUCGUUUCUCUCUCCCAAAUGCCUCGCUGCUAUCACCUUGUGCCCCAUAGCUUUAUAUGUAGCUUCAAUGGAGGAGGUUGAACUGGAAAACCAUGACGGCAAAUUGCAUUGACAGAUGAGGCUGAACCAUAAAACUAAAACAUCCAAAUGUAUUGAUGGAAGGGUCUUGAAACAGCCAUCUACAACGUUAGAUUCGUUGAUGUUUCUCGCAAGUUUUCCCAUGAGAACAGCAAAAACAGAAACAAAGAGGACCACAAACCAAAAAAUCGAAGGGAAAUAGUAUUGUGCAUGAUAAGUAAUAGCACGUGGUGCUCACUGAAUCGCAUCAGACUAGCAGGUAGUAACACAAUUCAAUGGUCAGAGGGUCCAAUGACGAAGAAAAUGUGCUGCCUUCCAUUUGAAGAAUUUGAUGAACAUGGUAUUAAUUUAUACUGCUUGUAACCUCAGAGAUCCCCUCUUUUGGCAGUAUUUCAAGAGAUGCCGAAGGUGAAGAUUUUGGGAAAGUA
Molecule: RNA transcript, 2798 nt
Organism: Prosopis cineraria
Lineage: Eukaryota; Viridiplantae; Streptophyta; Magnoliopsida; Fabales; Fabaceae
Exons: 11
Source: RefSeq, a predicted model, not a curated record